GAACCUAAUUGUUUUGUAGCUUUUGUGAUUUCUUUUUCUGGAUCAAGCAAAAAUAACCUGACAGAAAGCUUAGUGUUUGUUCGCACUCGUUUCCUCGUGUUUGGUGAAAGAUAAUUGGCCAUUGCUGUGAUACGAAGGUCACAUAUUUGAUGACAGAAUUUAGUUGCUCAACACAUGUUGGCUAAACUAGACGGAAACACGAAGAUUAAAUAUGUGAUGCAAAGGUUUAAUUCCUCCAAUUAAUAUCUUCGGGCCCUCUUGCCU
This is a non-coding RNA of Paramuricea clavata, 264 nucleotides long. The record is from the annotation of a GenBank genome assembly. Lineage: Eukaryota; Metazoa; Cnidaria; Anthozoa; Malacalcyonacea; Plexauridae.